UGAUAGAUAAAGCCUACGCUAC
RNAcentral lists this non-coding RNA (22 nucleotides) under Arabidopsis thaliana (thale cress). Lineage: Eukaryota; Viridiplantae; Streptophyta; Magnoliopsida; Brassicales; Brassicaceae. The record is from RNAcentral.